AUUGAACGCUGGCGGCAGGCCUAACACAUGCAAGUCGAACGAGUGGCGGACGGGUGAGUAAUGUCUGGGAAACUGCCUGAUGGAGGGGGAUAACUACUGGAAACGGUAGCUAAUACCGCAUACCAUCGGAUGUGCCCAGAUGGGAUUAGCUAGUAGGUGGGGUAAAGGCUCACCUAGGCGACGAUCCCUAGCUGGUCUGAGAGGAUGACCCGCCACACUUGAACCGGGGCAAGGGCCAGAAGCCUACGGGAGGCAGCCGCGGGGAAGAUUGCACAAUGGGCGGAAGCCUGAUGCAGCCAUGCCGCGUGUAAUAAGAAGGUCCUCGGGUUUGAAAGUAAUUUCAGCGGGGAGGCGUUACCCGCAGAAGAAGCACCGGCUAACUCCGUGCCAGCAGCCGCGGUAAUAC
This 406-nucleotide ribosomal RNA is filed under the name uncultured bacterium. Its description in RNAcentral is "partial 16S ribosomal RNA". It matches the Rfam family "Bacterial small subunit ribosomal RNA", at positions 29 to 526 of the family's 1533-position model. The record is from RNAcentral.